GGAGUGAUUUUAUGUUAACACUGUAUUUCCCUAUCGUCUGCUUAUUGCCCAGAAAUGGGUCCCGCAGCUUUAAGCCAGAUCCGAGAGAGAGUGGGGGGAAGGCGGUGGAGUUCCUUCAUUGCUGUGUUCAAAAACACAGAUAACUUGCUCGCUCUCUUCCCAGCUCUCGGCUCUGCAACAGCAAAGAGAGUUGCAUUUUUUUGCUUUUUAGGGAGCUUCUCAUUCAUUAGCUGAGGCAGGAAGUUUUCUUGGGACUGCAGCUUCUUCUUCUUCUCCAGGAACUGUUCAGUCUUGCUCUGGUCCGGAACACCAUCACUGGGAGGCCCUACACCAUGGCCUGGAGGGGCCCACGCUGCACCUCAGCCCCAGAGAGAGCAGAGCCACAUCUACAGAAAGGAUUUUGAACCUUCCAGGUUUUCUCCACAGUGAGAGAAAUUCCUUUCAAACCUGUGGGGGAGGGGCUGCCGAAAUCUGCCUUCCAUUUAGAGGAUACGCUCAUUUCAGGACAUCUUCUCCUAAUUUGUCUCAACUGAGGCGCCUUUCAGAUUUUGGAGAGCCAUUUGCCAUGCUGCUUUGUGAAUUACUAGCAUCUAUAUAGCCACUGAGUGAGUUUACAUCAUAGCCUGCACUGGAAUGAAGACACCUGAACCAGCACACGUGCCAGAUGCAGUGGAGUCCCAACAGUACUGAGUUCAGCAUGAGCUUAUUCCUUCCACUCAUGUCAUCACAAUACAGGCAGCCGUCUGUUACCAAUGCUAAUUGGAGCCUCACAGAGUUUUGAAAACAGAAUUAGUGCUAUGGUUUCCACACUGAGCUAACUCGGUCAGGAUCAGCCUCAUGAACAGUCUUUUUUGCUUUAUGAAAGAUACUAUGCCGUCCAAUUGCAAGGAGCCACUUCAGGUCCGAAGGUGUGUCCAGCAUCUAAACCAAUAAGCCCUCCAGAUAUGAGAGAGUGCAUGGUGUGAAGACAGAUGGAACAGCUCUUGGUCACUGGCAAGGGCUCAGCACAGCGUGGAAGCAGUUAAAAUCUUCUGAGCCAAGGAUAGAUGCCAUUGCACUCAUGUGGCUCUAUACUUGGGCAGCAAUCUGUGCAGGAUUUGUACUGGCCUGCUUAGAUCAGCUGGGAAACUUUUGCACCUCUGGCAUGAUUUAGCUACAGUAUGGAUUGCUACUUCUCAGAUGAUGCAAAAUUUACUGAAUCUGAGUUACGUCUGACCAGAUGUAGAUGUUAAUAAUGUAUGCAUCUGAGCAACUCAGCCCAAUUCCUUGUGUGGUCAACUGAGAAAAACAAUAGCUUUCAGGUUGUGAUCUUUCUUCCUGAUGAGAAUUGCUCUUCAGUUUGCCUAAUUCUCUACACUGAAUAAAAGAAGCCACAAGUGCCUAUCUCAAAUAUGGACAUAUAACAUGAUGUCUAGAGCUAGCUGCCAUCAUCAUCUUUAUCAUCUACCAUGGGUCCAGUGCCUUACUAUUUUAAAAUGCCUUAUCAAACAUCUCUUGUAGAAAGAACAAAAAAACCUGAUAUUUCAUUUAUAAAUUGACAUAGGAGGGACAUGUUUUGCAUGUUUGGAGUUCACAGAAGCUGUAGAGAACUGAAAUUAUUUGACCCUGUGAGACAUCUGUUUGCUUUGUCAUUUUGGGAAUAAGCAGAACAUUUUGUAUGGCACUGAUACAAAAUACAACAGUGGCUUCAGGACAAUGAUCCUGCCUAUAAUUAGGUUCAUAACAUCAAAACAAAACAACUCAUUUUGUAAGUUUCUAAGGCUCUUGUGACACUGGUCUAAAAUGCUAGAUCAUACUGCUAUUCAGAUAAUUAUAGAUGCAGAAGGAAAUACAUAAACUCUCAGUUAAUUGAGUGGAUAAAAAGUUAGUACCUACAUCCAAAGGACAGCUUUGGAUGAAUGAGCCUCAGCUAAAGGGACCAACCAUAUGGUAGGUUUGUAAGUGCACAUAUUGUAUUAAUCUUGAGAGUUGCUAAGUACUCAGCGCUGAAGUUGAAGAAUGGGCCAAGAGGAAUGUUGCAUAGAACACUUCACAUAUUUUUGAAACAACUUUGUUUUGUUGAGAAUAAAAUUAACAAUGAGUUUGGAGGCAAGAAACAAAAGGGUGGAAAGGAAAAGACCAACUUCAUCUAUUUUGAAAGACAAAAUAUCAGACUGUUGAAAUGUGCUGUUUUGACACCUUCAAACUACUAAAUUAGUAACAGCUAAUCUUUUUAAGAACAGAAAAUAAUUUCUUGCCCACAUCUAAAUCUACUACUGUUGUAAGUAUCAUGUGUAAGUAUGAUAGCAGACUGUUGGAGACAGUCUGAGGGCAACGCUCAUUUAAACCCAAAAUUUAUGACUGAAGCAUUUGGAGUUUUCAGACACCUACAAAACAUGUGUUCAGCGGGCUAUCACUUGUUAAUACCACAACUACAGAAUGGGGUUUUUUUGCAAAAUAUUAAAUGAAUUUUUGAAGAAGACAGCACUAAAUUUGUUAACUACUAAUUUACAUGGUAAGCAAUAUUGAUCAUAUGACUUAAUAUGUCUUUUGGUUACAUGUCUACUUAUUUAUAAAACUUAAUGUGCUGCUGUAAUACAGUAUUUUUGAAAUAAAAGCCAGGUCAGAGCUAGGAAACUGUUUGUAUAAGGUCUUGAUAUAAUGAAAGGACAGUAUGUUCUGAUCACUAUACUUGUCGUCAGACAGAGGUAUAUCACUGAAACAGUGUGCUUCAACACCUGUCUUCUGCGGCUAAUAAAAAUUAUGCAGAUUGUACAAGGUAACUUUGGCCAUGUUACUCCAGCUAGCAACUAAGCUGACCUAGUCACUCUGUCACUCCCCUCUAGCAGGAAGGGUCAGAAGACCAAGAAUGAAGAGCAAAAAGAAGAGCAGAAGAAUCAGAAGAGCGAAAAUGAAAAAAAUCAUAGGUCAAGAUAAAGACAGUUGAAAAUGUGAAGCAAAACUGCAUGCACAAGCAAAGUAAAAUAAGGAACUCAUUCAGUACUUACCACCCAUGAUCAUUUUUCAGCCAUCUCCUGUAAAGCAGGGCCUCAGGACACACGAUAACUACUUGGGAAGACAAACAGCAUCACUCUGGAUAUCCCUCAUUCCUCCUCCUUUCCUCCAGUUUUUAUUGCUGAACGUGACAUGAUGUGGUAUAUAAUAUCCCUUUGGCUAGUUGGGUCACCUGUCCUGUCUGUGUCUCCUCCCAGCUUCACGUGCACUCCAACCUACUCAUUGCAGGGUCAGAGUGGGAAAAAAGAAAAUCUCAAUAUGGUGUUGCAUUGUUAGCCAGAGCCAAAACGCUGGUGUAUUAUCAACACUGGUUUAAUCACAAAUUAAAGAGACAGCACGCUGCUGCUAUGAAGAAAAUUCCCUCCAUCAUUUCCAGUUUCAGUACAGUAACUGAGGAGUCUUUUGUCAAAUAAAACCAACAAAUUAGAAAAAAACAUUUUAGGGCUGUACUUUGGCAGAUUUUACUUGUGUUACUCUAUAUAAAUAGUAGAACUUAUGGCAGUACAGUUGUAUAAGUUGUGCAUGCUUAGGAGUUUUUUUGUCAGUUUAGCAGGAGAAAAGCCAUACAACUGUUUUCCUUUUGACCUUCUGUGGCAGGGCAUAUCACCCCUCUCCCCACUAUAGGCAGCCAGUGCAGAUAGGAGAGAUAACCCAGGCAGGCAAGGCCCAGUGGGUAGCAUCUCCUGGUGCCAAAAAGUCUGCCAGUUUAACAGGUGUGGGAAGAGAUUAAAAAACAUACGUGACCAAAAGGCCUGUUUUUACACUACAAAAGUAUUACAGUUUAUCACAGAGGCAGAAGUCUCUUACACACUCCUUGGGAAUGUGUGAGAUGAUAUCUUCUUGAAGACUGAAUGCAAAUUUUGCAGUUACUUUUCUGAAAUUGAGAGAAAGAAAUUCAAUGUCUGCCCCUUCAAGAAUUGGUGGUAAGAAACAUUGAAUCCUAAGUUAUACUAUUUCUUAGCUAGCUGUAAAUUUAACGGUACCCUCAACUCCACAUGUGUACUAGUAUCCCCUUUUUGUCUUAUCCCUGUGUAGUAAU
Long non-coding RNA from Corvus hawaiiensis (hawaiian crow), 4033 nucleotides. RefSeq lists it as uncharacterized. The transcript has 3 exons. Lineage: Eukaryota; Metazoa; Chordata; Aves; Passeriformes; Corvidae. The record is from RefSeq and is a predicted model, not a curated record.